GGGGAUAUAACGCAGGGGUUAGCGUGUUUGCUUUGCAAGCAAAAAGUCGUGGGUUCGAAAAAAUCUAGUAUUUCCC
RNAcentral lists this transfer RNA (76 nucleotides) under Hemiselmis andersenii. RNAcentral's name for it is "tRNA-Ala". It matches the Rfam family "tRNA", at positions 1 to 61 of the family's 71-position model. Rfam says of the family: Transfer RNA (tRNA) molecules are approximately 80 nucleotides in length. Their secondary structure includes four short double-helical elements and three loops (D, anti-codon, and T loops). Further hydrogen bonds mediate the characteristic L-shaped molecular structure. tRNAs have two regions of fundamental functional importance: the anti-codon, which is responsible for specific mRNA codon recognition, and the 3' end, to which the tRNAs corresponding amino acid is attached (by aminoacyl-tRNA synthetases). tRNAs cope with the degeneracy of the genetic code in two manners: having more than one tRNA (with a specific anti-codon) for a particular amino acid; and 'wobble' base-pairing, i.e. permitting non-standard base-pairing at the 3rd anti-codon position. Lineage: Eukaryota; Cryptophyceae; Cryptomonadales; Hemiselmidaceae. The record is from RNAcentral.